RNAcentral lists this ribosomal RNA (18 nucleotides) under Symbiodinium sp. C8c. RNAcentral describes it as "partial 28S ribosomal RNA". The record is from RNAcentral. Lineage: Eukaryota; Dinophyceae; Suessiales; Symbiodiniaceae.
UAGCCUGAAGUCAGACAA